RNAcentral lists this long non-coding RNA (1209 nucleotides) under Carassius auratus (goldfish). RNAcentral's name for it is "lncRNA (ENSCARG00000042992.1)". The record is from RNAcentral. Lineage: Eukaryota; Metazoa; Chordata; Actinopteri; Cypriniformes; Cyprinidae.
AUGACAGAUGUGCCAGAAAUAAGAGUCGCUCAGCUGGUGGAGCUUGAUGAAAUCCAGGAUGAUAUAUCUGAGCAUUGCACCAGGGCCUCUACACCUACAUCAGAGCAUGGGCCUAGUGAACAUCACCAGGAAGCAAGGGUAGAUGCAUGGGUCACUAGGAGAAAUCCUGUGGGGGAAGUAACAUCACUGAUUAGUUCACUUUAUAUCUCAGAUCCGGAAGAGAAUGAACAAAGCAUUGGAGAUGAGGGAGACACAUCAUAUCUCACACUUCCCGUUCUUACUACUAUUACCAAUGAUUUGGGGUCGGUCAUGGACAGAUUAAAUACACUUGAGACUGACUUUAGAGAUUCGCUUAAUAGUGCAUUGAACAGAGAAGUGGGCAUAAGGAGUUAUGUUAACAGGAGUGUUGAGGUGCUUGAGCAAUGCAUGAUAUCAACAUUAAAACAGUUUGAGGAAAAAUUUGUGGAUUGCUUGCAAAGGCGUGAUGAAAAGUGGAAAGCAGAACAUGAACGACUGAAGCGAGCCAGCCGUGUUGCUCUCCCUAGGUCUCUUCUACGCACAGGAAUUACUCUUCUUCCACCACAUAGCCGCUCUACUCCUGCCCAAGCUUCAUCCAGUGCUUUUACACAAACUGCAGCUCCUCUGGGUAUAGACGCACAUGUAAUGAGCCCGUCUAUUAGCAGAAUCUCUUCAUCUCGGCUUAACAACAUUACAGCUCCUGUUAUGGCGUCUAGUUCUGACAAUAUUGAUCAAUCUUCAAAUCCUUAUGCUCGAGGGUUCAUUCCAUGUCCACCCGUUCUACCCGGUGCACCGCUUCAGACCCCAUUCAAUGGAGCACUUUCGCAUCCACCUAUACAGUCUUUCAUGCCAAGCACCAGUAUCUCACCUUCGUUGGGUGUUUCAUGUAGUCAAGACAUCAGACCUCCUGUGGUUUAUUCACGACCAGUUAUUCAGAUGGAGUUUCCUUCAUUUAGUGGAUCUAGGGAGGUGGCCGAUGUUCUUAACUUUGUUGAUCUCUGCAAAACAUUCUUUGCAGUACGGCCUUUGUCUGGUGCAGAGCUAAUAGGCGCCCUAUCUAACACUCUUAAAGGGCCAGUACAUAGCUGGUGGAUGGUGGCGAAACACAGGGUGAACAACUGGUCAGAGUUUAAGAAAGCCUUUAUGGAUGCCUUUCUUACCCCUGAUUACCUCAUUGAGGUAGAAGAAUAG